GUUGCUCAAAUGUGCUACCUCUCCGUGGUGAGCAGCAGGCAACGGAAUUAUCCGGCUAACAAGCUUUU
Molecule: ribozyme, 68 nt
Filed under: unclassified sequences
Description: HDV ribozyme from F. prausnitzii
Rfam family: HDV ribozyme from F. prausnitzii
Source: RNAcentral